This is a long non-coding RNA of Panthera uncia (snow leopard), 545 nucleotides long. RefSeq lists it as uncharacterized. Lineage: Eukaryota; Metazoa; Chordata; Mammalia; Carnivora; Felidae. The transcript is spliced from 3 exons. The record is from RefSeq and is a predicted model, not a curated record.
GCAGAGAGAGAGGGAGAGAGAAUCCUAAGCAGGCUCCACACUGUCAGCUUGGAUCCCAACGAGGGCUUGAACUCAUGAAGCUGUGAGCUCGUGACCUGAGCCGAAACCAAGAGUUGGAUGCUUAACCGAUUGAGCCCCCCAGGCGCCCUUGUUGCUGUUAUUUUAAUAUGCGGCGUCUCUUCUUCCUGUGUUUUCCCUUCUCCCUUCUGCUUCUGCGGUUGAGUGCUUCUUUUAUUCUCCUUCCUAGGUCCCUUCCAUACCUAUUCGACUUGCCCUAGUCUGCAAGCUAUUAUCACCCUUCCCACCCACCGGUUCCAAUGCCUCUGAUCUGUGACGAUGUUGUGGUGGGCAGCGUUUCAUAUCAGGAGUUCUCCCAUUUUAGUGUGUACCAGAAACACCAAUAACCUGAAGCACAGUUACCAUACGGCGUUACAUUCGCUUCGGGUGUACAGUGUGGCGAGCCGACAAUUUCAUACAUCACUCAGUGCCCGUCAGGAUGAGCGGACUCUUAAUCCCCUUCAUGCGUUUCACCCAUCCCCCCCACC